GAUGAACGCUGGCGGCGUGCCUAAUACAUGCAAGUCGAGCGAACAGAUGAGGAGCUUGCUCCUCUGACGUUAGCGGCGGACGGGUGAGUAACACGGGGAUAACCUACCGAUAAUACUGGGAUAACUUCGGGAAACCGGAGCUAGGACCGGGUAAUAUAUUGAACAUCAUGGUUCAAUAGUAAAAGACGGUUUUGCUGUCACUUAUAGAUGGAUCCAUGCCGCAUUAGCGAGUUGGUAAGGGAACGGCUUACCAAGGCAACUGUGCGUAGCCGACCUGAGAGGGUGAUCGGCUACACUGGAACUGAGACACGGUCCAGACUCCUAAAGGAGGCAGCAGUAGGGAAUCCUACGCAAUGGGCGAAAGCCUGACGGAGCAAAGCGGCGUGAGUGAUGAAGGUCUUAGGCUCGUAAAACUAUGUUAUCAGGGAAGAACAAAUGUGUAAGUAACUAUGCACGUCUUGACGGUACCUAAUCAGAAAGCCACGGCUAACUACGUG
Molecule: ribosomal RNA, 497 nt
Filed under: uncultured bacterium
Lineage: Bacteria
Description: partial 16S ribosomal RNA
Rfam family: Bacterial small subunit ribosomal RNA
Source: RNAcentral